UGUGGACCCAGUUGAUGCAGAACCUCAGCCCUCCAAUCACGCGGCUUCUGCACAGCAUCCUCCUGUGGGACAGAUGCCGUUUCAGUCCUGUCCUCUCCAGCUCCGAGGGUCUCGGCUCUGGCUUCCGCGUGCUCAUCGUCCCUUCGCUCCCGGUGGGAGACCUCGCCUGGACUUGCAGGGUGAGCGGCUCCGUGUGCAGGAUGCAAACAGCACGGCUGCAAUCUCAGCUCCUUGUCUGCUGAAAGGACACUUUAAAGUCCAGACACAGAUGCCAGACUCUUCCUCUGGGCCCCGCGGCCCCAGCGGGGCUUGGCCCCGGUGCCGUGGACGACCAGCCGGCCCAGCGGGCUCCCCUGCACUGCAGCGGGUGAAGGAAUCAGCAGAUGCAGCCCAGACCUCUGCUGAGCCUGGAAGGGAAAUUCUUCCUUCCAUGGCCUUGGAGCUGUGAGGACGAGCGUCUCGACAGCCCUAGUUCCACGAAGGCAGAAGACUCUAAAUGGCGAGAUGAUGAAACUGAGAUGCACAGGAAGAGGCCAAGGACGUGUGACGAGGUGUCAGCCCACACCUUUGAGCAGUCUACCUCCGUGGGUUUCAAGACAAGCACUUUCUCUGGUUUCCGAAGUGGAGAGGAUAUUUUGGAAUGACAUAUUUUAAAAGGAGGUGCAGGAACUGGCUGCCGGACGUGGACUGGCUUAUCCAGGAUUCCAGAGGUUUUCAACUGAUGUAAGCAUUUGGCAAAGGGACAGCAUUUCAGUUGAUGUUAUGAUUUCAUUAGCAACUCCCAAAACUAAUUAACUUUUUAAAGGCUACACACAAUAUUUCAGAAGAACUUCUGGAAGAUUUAAAUCGUUAUUAAGGCCUGUGUCUCCUUAAAGUCAUCAUUUCAGAAACAGCAAAUUGUAUCAGGUAGGAGAGACAGAUUUGCUGGAUGACAAAGUACAACUGCACUUUAAUGAUGAAAUAGAAACAGCAAUGACGUUGCAAACAGAGCUCCUGGCCUCAGACCAAUGCGCAGCACUCGGUGGGUCAGGAUGCACAGUCAGGACCACGGCACCAGGCUGAAGGCUGCACCCCCUGACCCGGGGCAGCCCCAGCUCACCAAGCCCCACCGGCAACCUCGGGUUCGGUGCUUUUUUCUCUAGCCUCUAGUUCCUGAUUAAGGAACAUCUCGGACAAGAUGUCUUUAAUGAUGGUAACAAUUUUACAGGAUUAUAAAGAUUAAAUAAAUGAUCUAUGUAUAAAUAUAAAACUUUGUCCAAGGCCUAAUACCACCAAGUACUCACCAAAAGUUGCUGUGACUUUAGGGUCAUUCUCAGCACGGCUCCAGCUCUGUCAAAUCAGCAUCGCUGUCAUCAUCAAAAAACCUCAGGUGGGAGGUCAGUCCUCCGUCCGCCGGUGACCACCCACAGUUUGGGGUCCGGACUCCAGCCUUCCAGGGCCUCGCCUGUCUCCUACGGAAGAAGGGACACACUUUGCAUGUCAUAGCUCAAGCCUCACACACGGGAGUCAGAAUAAAAUAUGACAACAGGCUGCAGGAAGGAGGGCCGUUUAGUCUGUCAGAAGCACAUCAGAACCCACAGCCCAAGUCAACUGGCAAACCCACGGGCGGAGGCGUGACCCUGGUCACUUGGUCUGCCAUCUGUGCGUGUCCACUUUAAGAAAGGGGCUAGCCACGGAAAAGACACCAAACGUUGCCAGCUUGCCUCAGAUAUUUUAUGUCACUUCCCGGUGGCAGAAACUUACUGAGGGACCAUCAGAAGCUCUGCCUCCCAUGGCUUCGUUGAAGUUUGAAGCCUCGUGGCAAGAAGGAGCCCAGUACCCACGCUCUCAGACACUGAAUGAAGUGGACCGGCAGUAAAGCAUGCAGAAUAUCACUGUAUCUUUUCUUAAUGAAAACACUGCCACCAGCUGGUUAAUAAAUGAUUCCACGUUUUUAUUGAGUGAAAAAAGCAAGUCAUUUCCCCUUCAUUUAAAGAGGGACCACAAUGUCGA
This is a long non-coding RNA of Artibeus jamaicensis (Jamaican fruit-eating bat), 1992 nucleotides long. RefSeq lists it as uncharacterized. The transcript has 4 exons. Lineage: Eukaryota; Metazoa; Chordata; Mammalia; Chiroptera; Phyllostomidae. The record is from RefSeq and is a predicted model, not a curated record.